UACGUAGGGGGCAAGCGUUGUCCGGAAUCAUUGGGCGUAAAGAGCGUGUAGGCGGCUCGAUAAGUCUGCUGUGAAAGUCCAGGGCUCAACCCUGGAAGGCCGGUGGAAACUGUCGGGCUAGAGUCCGGAAGAGGCGAGUGGAAUUCCCGGUGUAGCGGUGAAAUGCGCAGAUAUCAGGAGGAACACCGGUGGCGAAGGCGGAUCUCUGGGCCUUACCUGACGCUCAGGCGCGAAAGCGUGGGGAGCGAACAGG
RNAcentral lists this ribosomal RNA (253 nucleotides) under uncultured bacterium. RNAcentral's name for it is "partial 16S ribosomal RNA". It matches the Rfam family "Bacterial small subunit ribosomal RNA", at positions 524 to 776 of the family's 1533-position model. The record is from RNAcentral.